RNAcentral lists this long non-coding RNA (1034 nucleotides) under Gouania willdenowi (blunt-snouted clingfish). RNAcentral describes it as "lncRNA (ENSGWIG00000003918.1)". Lineage: Eukaryota; Metazoa; Chordata; Actinopteri; Blenniiformes; Gobiesocidae. The record is from RNAcentral.
GAUGUAGACCAAGUAGUAACUAUUAAUCAAUGUAUUCUGGCAUUUAAAAUAUUAUUUGCAUUUUUCUUCAUUUAUCCCCUCAGAGUGACGGGAUGGAUUCGAGGUGACCAACGGCCUUCCUGGAAUCAGAGGCCCAAUGGGACCACAGGUAGAUCCAUCACUUCCUUCUUUUCUUAAAGCUCCUGCUUAUUUUCUUUUCUGCUUUCCCAGGGUCCACCGGGAAUCGCAGGAACUACCAGUAAGAACCCAAAGACACGCUUUUGUCCCAGGUUGUUGUUUUUUAGGGAGUGGGAACAUCCUUGUGUUUCUGUGUCGCAGGGAAAACCAGGUUACCUGGAAUCAAUGGAAACAAAGGAGCAGAGGGACCACGUGGACCUCCUGGGAUUCCUGGUCUGGAUGGUUUUCCAGGACAGUCUGGUAGGGGGAGUUGCAAGUUAUUUGCUUUGUCCUUCGAAUACCAUCACUGAUAUUUGUGCGUAACGUCAGUUUUUUUUUGCUCAGGGUGAUAAAGGAGACGAGGACAGAAGGGAGAGAACAGGUCAGGACACCAAAAUAAGAGCACAAAACCCAAAGUUUGGCUGUAUGAUAAACAACAUUGUGCAUUUACUCUAUUUAAGACUGGAUUUUGUUUGUAAAACAGGGUACUCCAGGCCGGACGGCGGUGCACCUGGACCUCCAGGCCCUCCCGGACCUCCGGGGCAGAUCCUCUACCAGACCGAAUGGAGAGUAUAACGACAUUUAUUGGACUGAGGGGUGGCAGGGUGGACCAGGAGUUCCAGGUCAAGCAGGUUUCCCAGGACCAGUGGGUCCAAAGGGAGACAAAGGGAGACUCUGGUCUACCAGGAUAUGCUCCAAAGGGACAAAAAGGUGAGCCAGGCCUGAUCAUAGGUGCUGAUGGAAGACCUUUGUACAUUGGUGGCUUGGCAGGACAGCCGGGUGAGCCUGGAAGCCCUGGACCUGAAGGCCCUCCAGUACGUAUUAGUUUGAAUCUCAUCACACUCCCAGCUGUGACAUUUGUUUCUAAUUUUAGUGAC